This is a non-coding RNA of Cytidiella melzeri, 92 nucleotides long. NCBI's taxonomy places the organism in Eukaryota, Fungi, Basidiomycota, Agaricomycetes, Polyporales, Irpicaceae. The record is from the annotation of a GenBank genome assembly.
CCCUCGAUAGCUCAGUUGGAAGAGCGCGAGACUGUAAUGGUUGCUUAAAAAUCUUAAUCUCGAUGUCGCUGGUUCGAUCCCGGCUCGAGGGA